Molecule: unclassified non-coding RNA, 364 nt
Filed under: Hevea brasiliensis (rubber tree)
Lineage: Eukaryota; Viridiplantae; Streptophyta; Magnoliopsida; Malpighiales; Euphorbiaceae
Source: RNAcentral
GCUGCUGUUGGUGAACAUGAUGCCAAGAGCAGCAAUAUUAUUUUCAUUACUCUUAGAAGUUGGACUUUGACUAAGAACAUUGGAAGGAGCCCACUCCAAAUAUAAUGGAGCAUCCUUGUAACGCUUGUAUGCUAAACCCUUAAAAGCAGCACGAGCCUCAGAUGGUUCAAGAAAAACUACCAAGGCCAGUGUCUUUGUUGGUGGCAAGAUUAUUCUGUCCAGACUACCAAAUUUCCCAAACAUCUUAGCAAGUUCGCCUUCAGAAGAGCCAUAUGGCAAGUUCUUUACUAUUAGAACAUGGUUGCUUCUUUUCAUGCCAUCAGUUCUCCCAGCAGCAUAUUCCUCUAAAGACAUGACAUUUACU